AAAUGAGCAAGGAACGAGGAUAUACCUAAUAUUAAAACGCAGUGUUCAAAUAAGUACUAAAUCGUAACAAUGUGCAAAUCUCAGGGAAAAUGUAAAAAAUAAAUAAAUCCUAAUUGAGACCUAAUUAGAGAUCAGUGCAGGAGGGGAGGGCUAUGUGCGCAAAUAUCCCGUCAACAUGGGAUCCAUUGGAAUUGGCUUCACACGGUACCGUUUCAUCUUGUUUAUAAAGGAAAAAAAAAAAAAAAACCUAAAUUACUAACAAAGGAGAAAAGACAGAAGCAUUCUAAUUUUUCCCUCUCCAUUCGGCCAAUCUCCAUAGCCCCUUAUUCUCAUGUUCUUGCUUCAAUUUGAGCAGUGGUGCAGGGGAGCCAUGGAGGAUCAAACCUUGAGAACUCUGUUUCAAUUUCGAAACACCGUCCCUACUUCGAUUGGGACGAAGAAGACGGGUCUCGACCACUAAGGUGUGUAUGGCGUGGAGGAGUCAUUCGUGGAGCAUGGCACGAGUGGAAGAAUCGGCUAGAGGCUACGGUGGCUGAAGCUUUUAGGGUUUCUGCCGAAAAUUCCAUAGGUAUUUUGGGCUUGGGUAUUUUGGGUUAUUUAGGCUAGUUGGGUUAAGUUUAAUAAUUUGAGCCCGUUAUUUUGGUUGCUAGGCUAUGUAAGAAAUGGCCAUUGGAUUAUUAUUAUUAUUUAUUAUUAUUUUUAUAUUUUGAUUUUUUUUUAGUUUUUGUGUAAGCCCAGGCACAAAUUGGGUCUUACAAGAUUUCCGUCAAUUCUAAUAUAGACUUUCGAGUAAAAA
Molecule: long non-coding RNA, 796 nt
Organism: Gossypium arboreum
Lineage: Eukaryota; Viridiplantae; Streptophyta; Magnoliopsida; Malvales; Malvaceae
Exons: 2
Source: RefSeq, a predicted model, not a curated record